This 2279-nucleotide ribosomal RNA is filed under the name Lactiplantibacillus plantarum. RNAcentral describes it as "Lactobacillus plantarum partial 23S ribosomal RNA". It matches the Rfam family "Bacterial large subunit ribosomal RNA", at positions 1 to 2281 of the family's 2925-position model. Lineage: Bacteria; Bacillati; Bacillota; Bacilli; Lactobacillales; Lactobacillaceae. The record is from RNAcentral.
UGAGGUUAAGUUAACAAGGGCGCAUGGUGAAUGCCUUGGCACUAGGAGCCGAUGAAGGACGGGACUAACACCGAUAUGCUUCGGGGAGCUGUACGUAAGCUAUGAUCCGGAGAUUUCCGAAUGGGGCAACCCAGCAGUUUUAAUCAACUGUUACCACUAGAUGAAUUCAUAGUCUAGUUGGAGGUAAACGCUGUGAACUGAAACAUCUCAUUAGCAGCAGGAAUAUAAAGAAAUUUCGAUUCCCUAAGUAGCGGCGAGCGAACGGGGAACAGCCCAAACCAAAGUGCUUGCACUUUGGGGUUGUAGGACUGAACAUUUGAGUUACCAAAGAACUUGAUAGUCGAAGGAUUUGGGAAAAUCCGCCAUAGAUGGUGAUAGCCCAGUAGAUUAAAUCAAAUUCUCUCAGUUCAGGAUCCUGAGUACGGCGGAACACGUGAAAUUCCGUCGGAAUCCGGGAGGACCAUCUCCCAAGGCUAAAUACUACCUAGUGACCGAUAGUGAACCAGUACCGUGAGGGAAAGGUGAAAAGCACCCCGGGAGGGGAGUGAAAUAGUUCCUGAAACCAUGUGCCUACAAUAAGUCAGAGCGCGUUAAUGCGUGAUGGCGUGCCUUUUGUAGAAUGAACCGGCGAGUUAUGAUCCCGUGCAAGGUUAAGACUAAAAAGUCGGAGCCGUAGCGAAAGCGAGUCUGAAAUGGGCGUUUUGAGUACGAGGUUAUAGACCCGAAACCAGGUGACCUAUCCAUGUCCAGGUUGAAGGUGCGGUAAAACGCACUGGAGGACCGAACCCGUGUAAGUUGAAAAUUGCUGGGAUGAGGUGUGGAUAGCGGUGAAAUUCCAAACGAACUUGGAGAUAGCUGGUUCUCUCCGAAAUAGCUUUAGGGCUAGCCUCGGAAUUAGGAUCAUGGAGGUAGAGCACUAUUUGGACUAGGGGCCCGUCUUGGGUUACUGAAUUCAGAUAAACUCCGAAUGCCAUUGAUUCAUAUCCGGGAGUCAGACGAUGAGUGAUAAGAUCCACCGUCGAAAGGGGAACAGCCCAGACCAUCAGUUAAGGUCCCUAAAUGUAUGCUAAGUGGAAAAGGAUGUGGAGUUGCAUAGACAACUAGGAUGUUGGCUCAGAAGCAGCCACCAUUUAAAGAGUGCGUAAUAGCUCACUAGUCGAGUGAUCCUGCGCCGAAAAUGUACCGGGGCUAAGCAUACUACCGAAACCAUGGAUGCGACCAUUAGGUCGCGUGAUAGGAGAGCGUUCUAAGGGCGGUGAAGCAAGAUCGUGAGGACUUGUGGAGCGCUUAGAAGUGAGAAUGCCGGUAUGAGUAGCGAAAGAUAGGUGAGAAUCCUAUCCACCGAAUGACUAAGGUUUCCUGGGGAAGGCUCGUCCUCCCAGGGUUAGUCGGGACCUAAGUCGAGGCCGAGAGGCGUAGACGAUGGAUAACAGGUUGAGAUUCCUGUACUAGUUAAGUGCGUUUGAGCAAUGGAGGGACGCAGGAGGCUAAGAUGUGCAUUCUGUUGGAUUAGAAUGUCCAAGCAGUAAGUCUUGUGAAGAGUCAAAUGCUUUUCACUUUAAGGACAAGCUGUGAUGGGGAGCGAAAUUUAGUAGCGAAGCGUCUGAUGUCACACUGCCGAGAAAAGCUUCUAGUGAGUACUUAACUACCCGUACCGCAAACCGACACAGGUAGUCGAGGAGAGAAUCCUAAGGUGAGCGAGUGAACUCUCGUUAAGGAACUCGGCAAAAUGACCCCGUAACUUCGGGAGAAGGGGUGCUGAUCGCAAGAUCAGCCGCAGUGAAUAGGCCCAGGCGACUGUUUAUCAAAAACACAGGUCUCUGCAAAAUCGUAAGAUGACGUAUAGGGGCUGACGCCUGCCCGGUGCUGGAAGGUUAAAAGGAUGGGUUAGCUUCGGCGAAGCUCAGAAUUGAAGCCCCAGUAAACGGCGGCCGUAACUAUAACGGUCCUAAGGUAGCGAAAUUCCUUGUCGGGUAAGUUCCGACCCGCACGAAAGGCGUAACGAUCUGGGCACUGUCUCAACGAGAGACUCGGUGAAAUUAUAUUGUCCGUGAAGAUGCGGACUACCCGCGACAGGACGGAAAGACCCCAUGGAGCUUUACUGUAGCUUGAUAUUGAGUGUUUGUACAGCUUGUACAGGAUAGGUAGGAGCCAUAGAAACCGGAACGCUAGUUUCGGUGGAGGCGUUGGUGGGAUACUACCCUCGCUGUAUGACCACUCUAACCCGCACCACUAAUCGUGGUGGGAGACAGUGUCAGGUGGGCAGUUUGACUGGGGCG